Molecule: ribosomal RNA, 253 nt
Filed under: uncultured bacterium
Lineage: Bacteria
Description: partial 16S ribosomal RNA
Rfam family: Bacterial small subunit ribosomal RNA
Source: RNAcentral
UACGAAGGGGGCUAGCGUUGUUCGGAUUUACUGGGCGUAAAGCGCACGUAGGCGGGUUGUUAAGUCAGGGGUGAAAUCCUGGAGCUCAACUCCAGAACUGCCUUUGGUACUGGCAACCUAGAGGCUGGAAGAGGUUAGUGGAAUUCCCAGUGUAGAGGUGAAAUUCGUAGAUAUUGGGAAGAACACCAGUGGCGAAGGCGGCUAACUGGUCCAGAUCUGACGCUGAGGUGCGAAAGCGUGGGGAGCAAACAGG